Colias croceus (clouded yellow) is the source of this 516-nucleotide long non-coding RNA. RefSeq lists it as uncharacterized. Lineage: Eukaryota; Metazoa; Arthropoda; Insecta; Lepidoptera; Pieridae. The transcript is spliced from 2 exons. The record is from RefSeq and is a predicted model, not a curated record.
CCUUAGAGCAUUAAACCAACCGGAGUGGCCAUUGGCAGGCGUUCCCCGCUCGCCAAAGGUUUGAGUACGCGUUACAUACCUGUUAUAUAAAACUAGUUGACGCGCGCCCAACGCCAUUUUGCUAAUGUCAGUGAACGUGAAAAAACCGGAGCGAAAUAUGCCAAAUUGAAGUGAAUUUACGUGUAAGAAGUGGUCAGAAACGUGGAAUGUAAUUAAGGAUAAUGUUACUUUUCAUCUGUAAGUACUUUUACAUCAAAAUAUUGUGAAAUAUUGCAGCAAAUUUGCAAAAUACUGAAAUAUAUUGUCAAUGUAAAAGUGUUGCCACAUAAUGGUACUACAUCCACUUUUGGGUAAAUUUUAAAAUUUCUAAAAGCUGCUGUGAUUCGGGAUGUUUGGAUUCGAUCUCCGAAUGCGAAUCAUGUUUCAUGGACACCUAAACGGACUAGCACUAACUAGUGUUUCUGCGUUAAAAUAAAUGUAAAUAUUUGUAAAUAAAUGAUGUAAAUGAACGACGAA